RNAcentral lists this ribosomal RNA (987 nucleotides) under uncultured cyanobacterium. RNAcentral describes it as "bacterial SSU rRNA". It matches the Rfam family "Bacterial small subunit ribosomal RNA", at positions 471 to 1456 of the family's 1533-position model. The record is from RNAcentral. Lineage: Bacteria; Bacillati; Cyanobacteriota.
GACGGUACUUGAGGAAUAAGCCACGGCUAAUUCCGUGCCAGCAGCCGCGGUAAUACGGGAGUGGCAAGCGUUAUCCGGAAUUAUUGGGCGUAAAGCGUCCGCAGGCGGCCUCGAAAGUCUGUCGUUAAAGCGUGGAGCUUAACUCCAUUUAAGCGGUGGAAACUACGAGGCUAGAGUGUGGUAGGGGCAGAGGGAAUUCCCGGUGUAGCGGUGAAAUGCGUAGAUAUCGGGAAGAACACCAGUGGCGAAGGCGCUCUGCUGGGCCAUAACUGACGCUCAUGGACGAAAGCCAGGGGAGCGAAAGGGAUUAGAUACCCCUGUAGUCCUGGCCGUAAACGAUGAACACUAGGUGUCGGGGGAAUCGACCCCCUCGGUGUCGUAGCUAACGCGUUAAGUGUUCCGCCUGGGGAGUACGCACGCAAGUGUGAAACUCAAAGGAAUUGACGGGGGCCCGCACAAGCGGUGGAGUAUGUGGUUUAAUUCGAUGCAACGCGAAGAACCUUACCAGGGCUUGACAUCCUGCGAAUCCCUUGGAAACUUGGGAGUGCCUUCGGGAGCGCAGAGACAGGUGGUGCAUGGCUGUCGUCAGCUCGUGUCGUGAGAUGUUGGGUUAAGUCCCGCAACGAGCGCAACCCACGUCUUUAGUUGCCAGCAUUAAGUUGGGCACUCUAGAGAGACCGCCGGUGAUAAACCGGAGGAAGGUGUGGAUGACGUCAAGUCAUCAUGCCCCUUACGUCCUGGGCUACACACGUACUACAAUGCUACGGACAAAGGGCAGCAAACUCGCGAGAGCUAGCAAAUCCCAUAAACCGUGGCUCAGUUCAGGUCGUAGGCUGCAACUCGCCUACGUGAAGGAGGAAUCGCUAGUAAUCGCAGGUCAGCAUACUGCGGUGAAUACGUUCCCGGGCCUUGUACACACCGCCCGUCACACCAUGGAAGUUGGCCACGCCCGAAGUCGUUACUCCAACCCGCAAGGGAGGAGGAUGC